This 253-nucleotide ribosomal RNA is filed under the name uncultured bacterium. RNAcentral's name for it is "partial 16S ribosomal RNA". It matches the Rfam family "Bacterial small subunit ribosomal RNA", at positions 524 to 776 of the family's 1533-position model. The record is from RNAcentral.
UACGUAGGGUGCGAGCGUUGUCCGGAAUUACUGGGCGUAAAGAGCUCGUAGGUGGUUUGUCGCGUUGUUCGUGAAAACUCACAACUCAAUUGUGGGCGUGCGGGCGAUACGGGCAGACUGGAGUACUGCAGGGGAGACUGGAAUUCCUGGUGUAGCGGUGGAAUGCGCAGAUAUCAGGAGGAACACCGGUGGCGAGGGCGGGUCUCUGGGCAGUAACUGACGCUGAGGAGCGAAAGCGUGGGGAGCGAACAGG